ACCUGUUCCUGCCUCGCUCAGUCCUGCUUAGGGGAUUUGGGUCUUUGCCCUUGCUCUGCUGUGCCCCAUGGCUCAGCCCCAUGCUGCUGUGCACCCAGGGUGCUCUUGGGGCAUGGGAGGGGACGUGCUGGUAGUGCUGGGGCCACUGGGAGGGGGCUGGAUCCUGCAGCUGUGCCUCGCUGGUCCCAUCUGCCACAGCUCGCAGCCAACUUCUGCUUCUGCGAGCGCCGGCCUCACUUCUCCUUUGCACCCCGAGACAGGCGACCACUGUGAGAAACCAAGUUGUGUUUUUGCAGUACAAUGUGUUUUUGCAGUGGAAAAUCCACUAACCUUGCAUAUUCAAAAGUGAUUGUGCAGGCAUGACAGUGGCAUAGCAGUGGGGAGGAGUAUGUUAAGCAGAUAAGGGGAAGGUCCCACUGUCCCAAAAUAAGGAGGAUAGCUAAGAAAAACAGGACGAGCAGUACGAAAUCAGUAAAAACAAAAAUCACGGGCCCUCUAGUCAUGAGAGAAGAAGGAAAAAAAGGAAAAAGAGAAAUCAACGGUUGGUCAAAUAAAACUGUACAUGUAUGGUAUUGUAAUAAGUGUCGAGUAGGUUGUGAACCUGUAGUACUCAGCCAAUGAGGAAAUGGGAGGAAUCAGGUGUCAGGUAAUAGGGAAUAUAAGGUUAUGAUAUACUUUUGUUGUGCGCUUCUGCUUGCAGGACGCCUGCCAUUGCAGCUGUGAAUAAAAUAGCUUCACAGAAGAUCCUGUCUGAAAAAAAUUAUUGAGAUUUUUCUCACACUGCUGGGCAGUGGGAGCACCCCAGAGAGCUGGGUGGGAGCCAGCAGGGCUCAGGACUUGCCCAGCACCUGCCCACAUGGCCCAGAGUGUGCUCUACACCAAACUGAGGUUCACCAACAGGCCAGGGGGCCAUGGCAUGGCCAGCCAGGCACUGGAGGCAGGUGAGAGCUAUGGAGCUAUGGGACCCCCGCAUUGCCCUGUGCUGUGCCCAGCUCCGUCGUCUCCAUGCCCCCUGCCUUCCUCCCGCAGCCCUUGGCAUGGACGAGGCCGAGAGCCCCUACGAGAACAUGGCAUCGGGGCCGGCGCCCACGGGGCCGGCUGCGGAAGGGACCCUGGAAAGCCCAGGGCCCUGCUCCCGGCGGUGCUGCGUCUCUGCGGGGCUGCUGGUCACCUGCCUGCUGCUGCUGGUGGCUGCCGUGGUCCUGGGGGCCUGUUGUGAGUGGGGAUGGGGUCGUACUGAGGCAUGGGGACAGGGGAGAUGGGACGGGUUGGGUGCCCCAGGCAGAUAUCAGACCGUGUAUGUGUCUGUGGGUCCCCCCGCCCUGUCUGCCCCAAGCUGGCCAAUGUCCGUCUUGCAUCAUGGGCUUCUCCCUCACCUGCCAUCAACCAUCUUCUUGUUCUUCCUUUCUGCUCCUGCCCUUGCCCUGCUCUCCCUGCUCCCUCCCCAUCCCACCCUGUCCUGCUCUCCCCUGCCAGGCCCAUGCUUCCCUGCCUUCCCCAUCCCUUCCCACUCAGCAGGGGCACCUCCCUGCCCUGCCUGCCCAACACACGGGCUGUCCUGUCACCACACCCUGGCUCACCCCACCUCGUCCCCAGACUGGCAGGUGACCCUCUGGCUGUGGGAAACAUCCCUAGAGCAGGCGUACGAGCAUGGCCACUUCUCGCAGGAGGCACAGCUGUGGGAGCAGAGCCUGGAGCAGAUGCAGUGGGAGCUGGUGCAGGCAUGA
Long non-coding RNA from Anser brachyrhynchus (Pink-footed goose), 1727 nucleotides. Lineage: Eukaryota; Metazoa; Chordata; Aves; Anseriformes; Anatidae. The record is from Ensembl.